AUGAAAUUUGAGAUGAAGGAUUUGGAUAAAACCAAAUUUUGCUUAGGUAUUCAACUUGAGCACCUUACCUCGAAAAUCAUGGUGCAUCAAGCUGCUUAUAUCCAAAAAAUAUUGAAGAAAUUCAAUAUGGACAAAUCCUACCCAUCUAAAACUCCCAUGGUGGUUCGCUCUCUAGAUGUACAGAAAGAUCCGUUCAGGCCAAGGGAUGACGGAGAAGAAAUAUUGGGACCCGAGGUUCCAUAUCUCAGUGCCAUUGGAGCGCUUGCGUAUCUCGCAAAUUGCACGAGACCUAACCUCGCAUUUGCCAUGAAUCUACUUGGUAGACAUAGCGCAAGGCACAAAGGAUCUUGGCCCAUUUUUCCAGUUCCAAAGAAUCGAGACUAA
RNAcentral lists this ribosomal RNA (384 nucleotides) under Triticum aestivum (bread wheat). RNAcentral describes it as "partial small subunit ribosomal RNA". The record is from RNAcentral. Lineage: Eukaryota; Viridiplantae; Streptophyta; Magnoliopsida; Poales; Poaceae.